Molecule: ribosomal RNA, 427 nt
Filed under: uncultured bacterium
Lineage: Bacteria
Description: bacterial SSU rRNA
Rfam family: Bacterial small subunit ribosomal RNA
Source: RNAcentral
UGGGGAAUUUUGGACAAUGGGCGCAAGCCUGAUCCAGCCAUGCCGCGUGCAGGAUGAAGGCCUUCGGGUUGUAAACUGCUCUCGUACGGAACGAAAAGACUCCCUCUAAUAAAGGGGGUCCAUGACGGUACCGUAAGAAUAAGCACCGUCUAACUACGUGCCAGCAGCCGCGGCAAUACGUAGGGUGCGAGCGUUAAUCGGAAUUACUGGGCGUAAAGCGUGCGCAGGCGGCUAUAUAAGACAGAUGUGAAAUCCCCGGGCUCAACCUGGGAACUGCAUUUGUGACUAUAUGGCUUGAGUACGGCAGAGGUGAAUGGAAUUCCGCAUGUAGCAGUGAAAUGCGUAGAUAUGAGGAGGAACACCGAUGGCGAAGGCAAUCCCCUAGGCCUGUACUGACACUCAUGCACGAAAGCGUGGGGAGCAAACA